UUUCAAAGCCGCGGAAUUUGUGGCUAUCAACGAUACAACACGUAUAAUGAUUUGGCUUGGCCUCGGUAUGCAAAUGUUAGUUUAAAACUUAAAUAUAAUUAAAAAAGUACGGACGCAUCAGGAUCGUACAGAGUGAUAGUGCCAAGUUUUUUGACAAAGAAGAUUAAAUCUCAAAUCUUAA
Molecule: long non-coding RNA, 181 nt
Organism: Drosophila erecta
Lineage: Eukaryota; Metazoa; Arthropoda; Insecta; Diptera; Drosophilidae
Exons: 2
Source: RefSeq, a predicted model, not a curated record